Molecule: non-coding RNA, 335 nt
Organism: Heterocephalus glaber (naked mole-rat)
Lineage: Eukaryota; Metazoa; Chordata; Mammalia; Rodentia; Bathyergidae
Source: RefSeq, a predicted model, not a curated record
CCUCCUCCCAGGCUGCUUCCUGCCUGCCAUGCCAUAAGUUGUUUCUCCUCACUGUGCCUCUCUACCAUGCCUCCUUGCCUUGGAACCAGCUGACCACGGACUGAAACCUCUACCAACUGUCUGUGGUUCCGUACUGUGACUUGGGCAAGUGGAAGAGCCACCUGGAGCUUGCGUCCCACUGACUUAUUAACAACGGGAAUCCUGCGUUUAGUCUGGCCCUCUACACCUACCCGUUUCUGGAGCUGAAACUCACUAAAUGGUGAGGCAGGAGGAAGAAGGAGAAAGUCCCAGGUCGAGGAAGCGGCAUGGUAAAUGGUAGCGAUAAUUCAGCACCG